Molecule: unclassified non-coding RNA, 238 nt
Organism: Panthera leo (lion)
Lineage: Eukaryota; Metazoa; Chordata; Mammalia; Carnivora; Felidae
Rfam family: Metazoan signal recognition particle RNA
About the family: The signal recognition particle (SRP) is a universally conserved ribonucleoprotein. It is involved in the co-translational targeting of proteins to membranes.
Source: Ensembl
GCCAGGUGUGGUGGGCGCAUGCCUGUAGUACUAGCUACUCGGGAGGCUGAGGCAUGAGGAUGCCCACUGGGUGUUAGCACUAAGUUCAGCAUCAGUACAGUGACCUCCCAGGAGCAGGGGAGCAUUAGAUUGCCUAAGGAGGGGUGAAUCAACCCAGGUUGGAAAUGGAGCAGGGUCAAAAUUCCUGUGCUAGUCAGUAGUGGGAUCAUGCCUAUGAACAGCCAGUGCCUUCAGCCUG